CAGUCGAGCGGCAGCACGGGAAGCUUGCUUCCUGGUGGCGAGCGGCGGACGGGUGAGUAAUGCAUAGGAAUCUGCCCGGUAGUGGGGGAUAACCUGGGGAAACCCAGGCUAAUACCGCAUACGUCCUACGGGAGAAAGCAGGGGCUCUUCGGACCUUGCGCUAUCGGAUGAGCCUAUGUCGGAUUAGCUGGUUGGUGAGGUAAUGGCUCACCAAGGCGACGAUCCGUAGCUGGUCUGAGAGGAUGAUCAGCCACAUCGGGACUGAGACACGGCCCGAACUCCUACGGGAGGCAGCAGUGGGGAAUAUUGGACAAUGGGCGCAAGCCUGAUCCAGCCAUGCCGCGUGUGUGAAGAAGGCCCUCGGGUUGUAAAGCACUUUCAGUGGGGAAGAACGCCUUCCGGUUAAUACCCGGGAGGAAGGACAUCACCCACAGAAGAAGCACCGGCUAACUCCGUGCCAGCAGCCGCGGUAAUACGGAGGGUGCGAGCGUUAAUCGGAAUUACUGGGCGUAAAGCGCGCGUAGGUGGCUUGAUAAGCCGGUUGUGAAAGCCCCGGGCUCAACCUGGGAACGGCAUCCGGAACUGUCAGGCUAGAGUGCAGGAGAGGAAGGUAGAAUUCCCGGUGUAGCGGUGAAAUGCGUAGAGAUCGGGAGGAAUACCAGUGGCGAAGGCGGCCUUCUGGACUGACACUGACACUGAGGUGCGAAAGCGUGGGUAGCAAACAGGAUUAGAUACCCUGGUAGUCCACGCCGUAAACGAUGUCGACUAGCCGUUGGGUCCUUCGCGGACUUUGUGGCGCAGUUAACGCGAUAAGUCGACCGCCUGGGGAGUACGGCCGCAAGGUUAAAACUCAAAUGAAUUGACGGGGGCCCGCACAAGCGGUGGAGCAUGUGGUUUAAUUCGAUGCAACGCGAAGAACCUUACCUACCCUUGACAUCCUGCGAAUCCUUCAGAGAUGAAGGAGUGCCUUCGGGAACCCAGAGACAGGUGCUGCAUGGCUGUCGUCAGCUCGUGUUGUGAAAUGUUGGGGU
This 1031-nucleotide ribosomal RNA is filed under the name Billgrantia desiderata. Its description in RNAcentral is "bacterial SSU rRNA". It matches the Rfam family "Bacterial small subunit ribosomal RNA", at positions 59 to 1081 of the family's 1533-position model. The record is from RNAcentral. Lineage: Bacteria; Pseudomonadati; Pseudomonadota; Gammaproteobacteria; Oceanospirillales; Halomonadaceae.